ACAAACAACAUUGCGAUAUAUACUCAGAGUAUAGAGAUAAUU
This 42-nucleotide non-coding RNA is filed under the name Trypanosoma brucei brucei. Lineage: Eukaryota; Euglenozoa; Kinetoplastea; Trypanosomatida; Trypanosomatidae. The record is from RNAcentral.